UACGUAGGGGGCAGGCGUUGAUCGGAAUUACUGGGCGUAAAGCGUGCGUAGGCGGCUCCUUAAGUCAGAUGUGAAAGCCCCGGGCUUAACCUGGGAACUGCGUUUGAAACUGGGGAGCUGGAGUGUAGAAGAGGGGGGUGGAAUUCCAGGUGUAGCAGUGAAAUGCGUAGAUAUCUGGAGGAACACCGAUGGCGAAGGCAGCCCCCUGGGCUAACACUGACGCUCAUGCACGAAAGCGUGGGGAGCAAACAGG
Molecule: ribosomal RNA, 253 nt
Filed under: uncultured bacterium
Lineage: Bacteria
Description: partial 16S ribosomal RNA
Rfam family: Bacterial small subunit ribosomal RNA
Source: RNAcentral